This 853-nucleotide ribosomal RNA is filed under the name Platymantis lawtoni (Lawton's wrinkled ground frog). Its description in RNAcentral is "partial 16S ribosomal RNA". It matches the Rfam family "Bacterial large subunit ribosomal RNA", at positions 1244 to 2580 of the family's 2925-position model. The record is from RNAcentral. Lineage: Eukaryota; Metazoa; Chordata; Amphibia; Anura; Ceratobatrachidae.
UAAAAGGCGUCAAAGCCCACUAUUACACACCUAAUUAAUUUCUCGCAAACACAUCAACCCUUCUCCCCUAUUGAAUGAAUUUAUAAAUUUAUAAAAGCCACUAUGCUUAAACUAGUAACAAGAAUAUGAAAUUCUCCUUAAUGUAAGCCUAAGCCGCAAUGGACUCUCCAACGGCAAUUAAAGUUGAUAAGCCUAUUAUAAUAACUAUCAUAAAAAACUUAUACUAACAAACGUUAAUCUAACACAAGAACAUUCUAGGAAAGAUAAAAAGGGGGAGAAGGAACUCGGCAAAUUUUAAUCCCGCCUGUUUACCAAAAACAUCGCCUCUUGUUAAAUUAUAAGAGGUCUAGCCUGCCCAAUGACUUCUUAAAUGGCCGCGGUAUCCUAACCGUGCUAAGGUAGCACAAUAACUUGUUCUUUAAAUGAGGACUUGUAUGAAUGGCAUCACGAGAAUUAUACUGUCUCCUCCCCCCCAUCAGUGAAACUGACCUCCCCGUGAAAAGGCGGGAAUUAUACUAUAAGACGAGAAGACCCCAUGGAGCUUCAGACUUAGGGCACAUCUAACCCCCCCCACUCCAUUAAAACCUUAGAUCUCUGACCCUCGGUCUUAGGUUGGGGCGACCAUGGAGUAUAACUAACCCUCCAUGCUGAACGGACAAAUCCUAAUCUAAGAGUCACAGCUCUAAGAAUCAAAAAACUGACAACUACUGAUCCGAAAUUCGAUCAACGAACCAAGUUACCCUGGGGAUAACAGCGCCAUCUACCUCGAGAGUUCAUAUCGACAGGUGGGUUUACGACCUCGAUGUUGGAUCGGGGUAUCCUUGUGGUGCAGCCGCUACAUAAGGUUCGUUGU